UGAGGAAUAUUGGACAAUGGGCGCAAGCCUGAUCCAGCCAUGCCGCGUGCAGGAUGACGGUCCUAUGGAUUGUAAACUGCUUUUGCACAGGAAGAAACAGUUCUACGUGUAGAACCUUGACGGUACUGUAAGAAUAAGGAUCGGCUAACUCCGUGCCAGCAGCCGCGGUAAUACGGAGGAUCCAAGCGUUAUCCGGAAUCAUUGGGUUUAAAGGGUCCGUAGGCGGUUAGAUAAGUCAGUGGUGAAAGCCCAUCGCUCAACGGUGGAACGGCCAUUGAUACUGUCUGACUUGAAUUAUUAGGAAGUAACUAGAAUAUGUAGUGUAGCGGUGAAAUGCUUAGAGAUUACAUGGAAUACCAAUUGCGAAGGCAGGUUACUACUAAUGGAUUGACGCUGAGGCGCGAAAGCCAGGGGAGCAAACGGGAUUAGAUACCCAGGUAGUCCCUGAGCGGGCUGGCAAGGCGCAU
RNAcentral lists this ribosomal RNA (467 nucleotides) under uncultured bacterium. Its description in RNAcentral is "bacterial SSU rRNA". It matches the Rfam family "Bacterial small subunit ribosomal RNA", at positions 355 to 825 of the family's 1533-position model. The record is from RNAcentral.